This 465-nucleotide ribosomal RNA is filed under the name uncultured bacterium. RNAcentral's name for it is "partial 16S ribosomal RNA". It matches the Rfam family "Bacterial small subunit ribosomal RNA", at positions 28 to 507 of the family's 1533-position model. The record is from RNAcentral.
GAUGAACGCUGGCGGCGUGCUUAACACAUGCAAGUCGAACGGAAAGGCCCAAGCUUGCUUGGGUACUCGAGUGGCGAACGGGUGAGUAACACGUGGGUGAUCUGCCCUGCACUUCGGGAUAAGCUUGGGAAACUGGGUCUAAUACCGGAUAGGACCACCUUCUGGAUGGUGUGGUGGGAAGAUUUUCGGUGUGGGGUGAGCUCGCGGCCUAUCAGCUUGUUGGUGGGGUAAUGGCCUACCAAGGCGUCGACGGGUAGCCGGCCUGAGAGGGUGAACGGCCACAUUGGGACUGAGAUACGGCCCAGACUCCUACGGGAGGCAGCAGUGGGGAAUAUUGCACAAUGGGCGGAAGCCUGAUGCAGCGACGCCGCGUGGGGGAUGACGGCCUUCGGGUUGUAAACUGCUUUCGCUAGGGACGAAGCGUAAGUGACGGUAACUGGUGAAGAAGCACCGGCUAACUACGUG